Molecule: non-coding RNA, 1252 nt
Organism: Rattus norvegicus (Norway rat)
Lineage: Eukaryota; Metazoa; Chordata; Mammalia; Rodentia; Muridae
Source: RefSeq, a predicted model, not a curated record
CGUAGGAUGUGGUAGGCCCUGGUUGGGGUCCCUAUGAAACUGAAACCAAUACAAGGCUGCUUUUCCACCAGGGUGUAUGAUGAGUCUUGCCCUAGAAUUGGUGAAUUUGAUAUUAAGCCCACAGAGGAAAGUUUGAGUAAAGAGGCUGCCAUUUUCUUUGAGGACACAGAGAAAAUUAUGAAGAAGAAGAAAGGAGGGAGACUGAGGAGAGGACAAUUAUUAGAAUCGCCCAUACUUAACUUUCUGUAAUCUAAAGUGUUUUCUUCACUGUCUGGUAGAAUUUCAGAUCUUCUGCAUUCUUCCAUUAUUUCUUACUCUUGGCAUCUUCAUACUCAUACAUACCUUGUUUUGAUUGUGUUGCCCCCUGUUGCCCUCUCUCAUCCACUUCCACUCCACCUGACUCCUCUUCCUUGUAACCCACCUGUGUGGCCCUGCCUCUCUCCGAGUGUGCAGGUUUUAUGCAGGUAGCCACAGGUGCUUUGUGUCCAUAGUCACAGAAACCAUGUUAUUUCCAGAAUGUUUCACAGCACAUCAUCCCCAUCCAGGUUUCCUGCUCUUCUCCCACAGGUUCCCCAAGCUCUGGAGAGGGUGACUGCGAAGCCCCACUUUGGGCGAGCACUUAACAGUCGGUUCCACUCAGCCCUUGACCCAUAGAUGGCCACAUGUUGACAUGGCAGGGCUGGACACAGCAAGGACAGAACGAGAAGGGACUUCUCUUGUGCAGUUAUCACAUCUGAGGAGCUGGUCAUGAAGAAUAUUCACUGACAUGGAAGAGUGACACGGAAUCCCCACUGGUCCUAGCGCAGUCCCUUUAAGGUGUGCUGUUUUCUACAGUCUCUGACAAUGAUAAGCCACAACCUCUCCUACAGUGAACACACAGCUCCGCCUGCCUUCCCUGCAGUCCUCAUUUCUGCAUGGACUUUGCAAAGAACAAUCGACUCUGUAUCUAUAGCAGCAUCUGCUGCCAGGGUGUUGGGUGACCGUUUACUUCUUAUUGGGCACACGGUAGCUUUUAUUUCCGAUAUAUGGUAAGGCCUGGCAGUUUCCUUUCCUACCAGGAAGAAUUACCAAUCUCAGCCAAUCCCAUGUCAUCUUCAUCCUCAUCCUCUCUCUUCCACCAGAGCCUGGCUCCUGUAUUUUAUUGUAGGGCUUAGCAGACUAAACUCUCCCCUUAUUACUAGGGAUAGACACCUGGAUGAGACGUUUUGCCUCUGACCCUUGUGAUGGGUCCCAGAAUAUAUUGCUUUGGGAA